This 773-nucleotide ribosomal RNA is filed under the name uncultured Neocallimastigales. Its description in RNAcentral is "partial large subunit ribosomal RNA". It matches the Rfam family "Eukaryotic large subunit ribosomal RNA", at positions 23 to 616 of the family's 3401-position model. Lineage: Eukaryota; Fungi; Neocallimastigomycota; Neocallimastigomycetes; Neocallimastigales. The record is from RNAcentral.
GAGAGAGACAUGCGCGCAUAUCAAUAAGCGGAGGAAAAGAAACUAACAAGGAUUCCCCUAGUAACGGCGAGUGAAGCGGGAAGAGCUCAAAUUUGAAAUCUUAAAGGGUUUCCCUUUACGAAUUGUAGUUUAAAGAAGUGUUUUCUGUUGAGGUUUUGGUAAAAGUUCUUUGGAAUAGGACAUCAUAGAGGGUGAGAAUCCCGUAUUUGACCUUUACUUUCAACUUUGUGAUACACUUUCAAAGAGUCGGAUUGUUUGGGAAUGCAGUCCAAAAUGGGUGGUAAAUUUCAUCUAAAGCUAAAUAUUGGCGAGAGACCGAUAGCGAACAAGUACCGUGAGGGAAAGAUGAAAAGAACUUUGAAAAGAGAGUUAAACAGUACGUGAAAUUGUCAAAAGGGAAGCGUUUGACACCAGUGCUGUUUUUCUGAAAAUCAAUUAAAGAACUGUUUAUGCUAAGUUGUUUAGACUUUAUCAGCUAACUGUUUAGUUUUGAGCUUUUCUUUAAUGCACUUUUCAGUUAACAAGUCAACAUCAAUUUCUUUUGCUGUAAAAAAGCUUGAGGAAGGUGGCUUGAGAUUCGUCUUAAGUGUUUAUAGCCUCUUGCCUAUGCAGUCGGAGAGAUUGAGGUCUGCAGCGUAGAUCCUUCGGGGCUAAAUGCAUUUGUGCUAAGUUAUAGCAUUUUAUAGACAACUUGUUGACUAUGAUUUGUCUUGUAGCUUACUCGCUUAUGUUAUUUUACCUACGCUUAGGAUGUUGAGCGCAUGUCUCUCUCU